AUUGAACGCUGGCGGCAUGCCUUACACAUGCAAGUCGAACGGCAGCGGACCUUCGGGUGCCGGCGAGUGGCGAACGGGUGAGUAAUAUAUCGGAACGUACCUUUCAGUGGGGGAUAACGUAGCGAAAGUUACGCUAAUACCGCAUAUUCUGUGAGCAGGAAAGCAGGGGACCGCAAGACCUUGCGCUGAUUGAGCGGCCGAUAUCAGAUUAGCUAGUUGGUGAGGUAAAGGCUCACCAAGGCGACGAUCUGUAGCGGGUCUGAGAGGAUGAUCCGCCACACUGGAACUGAGACACGGUCCAGACUCCUAUGGGAGGCAGCAGUGGGGAAUUUUGGACAAUGGGCGCAAGCCUGAUCCAGCCAUGCCGCGUGAGUGAAGAAGGCCUCGGUUGUAA
Molecule: ribosomal RNA, 394 nt
Filed under: uncultured bacterium
Lineage: Bacteria
Description: bacterial SSU rRNA
Rfam family: Bacterial small subunit ribosomal RNA
Source: RNAcentral